GCACUAGUCGGGGAGUUAGCGAUGCCCUGUAACCUGCAAUGCGCUACAGCAGGGAUGAAUUCCCCCAUGAGGAUAUGUGCUGUGUUGUCUGACCUCGGUAAGCGGCGUUGACGACCCGGUCUCGCGCAACGUGAUCCCGUGAACCAUGUCAGGCGGGGAACCGAGCAGCAUUAAGCGGUGCAUUGCGUGUGCCGUGAGGCUGCCGGGUCUGAGUCGGCUGCCGUUGUAACGGGCAUAGUGCAUUAUUCGAGUCGGGGU
RNAcentral lists this signal recognition particle RNA (258 nucleotides) under human gut metagenome. RNAcentral's name for it is "Bacterial large signal recognition particle RNA". It matches the Rfam family "Bacterial large signal recognition particle RNA". From Rfam's summary of the family: The signal recognition particle (SRP) is a universally conserved ribonucleoprotein involved in the co-translational targeting of proteins to membranes. Archaeal SRP consists of a 7S RNA and homologues of the eukaryotic SRP19 and SRP54 proteins. In most bacteria, the SRP consists of a 4.5S RNA and the Ffh protein (a homologue of the eukaryotic SRP54 protein). The record is from RNAcentral.